GGUUGUGGCUCAGUGGAAGAGCACUUGCCUAGCAUGUUGGAGGGACUGGGUUCAAUCCUCAGCACCA
This 67-nucleotide transfer RNA is filed under the name Marmota monax (woodchuck). RNAcentral's name for it is "tRNA.Ala". Lineage: Eukaryota; Metazoa; Chordata; Mammalia; Rodentia; Sciuridae. The record is from RNAcentral.